Molecule: ribosomal RNA, 497 nt
Filed under: uncultured bacterium
Lineage: Bacteria
Description: partial 16S ribosomal RNA
Rfam family: Bacterial small subunit ribosomal RNA
Source: RNAcentral
GACGAACGCUGGCGGCGUGCCUAAUACAUGCAAGUUGAGCGCUGAAGGUUGGUACUUGUACCGACUGGAUGAGCAGCGAACGGGUGAGUAACGCGUGGGGAAUCUGCCUUUGAGCGGGGGACAACAUUUGGAAACGAAUGCUAAUACCGCAUAAAAACUUUAAACACAAGUUUUAAGUUUGAAAGAUGCAAUUGCAUCACUCAAAGAUGAUCCCGCGUUGUAUUAGCUAGUUGGUGAGGUAAAGGCUCACCAAGGCGAUGAUACAUAGCCGACCUGAGAGGGUGAUCGGCCACAUUGGGACUGAGACACGGCCCAAACUCCUACGUGAGGCAGCAGUAGGGAAUCUUCGGCAAUGGACGAAAGUCUGACCGAGCAACGCCGCGUGAGUGAAGAAGGUUUUCGGAUCGUAAAACUCUGUUGGUAGAGAAGAACGUUGGUGAGAGUGGAAAGCUCAUCAAGUGACGGUAACUACCCAGAAAGGGACGGCUAACUACGUG